This is a long non-coding RNA of Cryptotermes secundus, 4967 nucleotides long. RefSeq lists it as uncharacterized. The transcript is spliced from 3 exons. NCBI's taxonomy places the organism in Eukaryota, Metazoa, Arthropoda, Insecta, Blattodea, Kalotermitidae. The record is from RefSeq and is a predicted model, not a curated record.
GGUCAGUUGUCGAACUGCCACUCACUGUAUCUUCUUAUAUAACCUAGUCAGACCUACAGAAAACAUGUCGCUGUCCAUACUGUUAUAGGCUUUGUCUAGCAACAGCUGUUUACUCACUUUGCUUAGCAAACAUUUGCUUGAAUGUGGGCACUUCCCACAUCGUAAUAAAGUAACUACCUGGACAGUGUGUUGGAAACUUCUUACGGACAGAUCGAUUUUUUCUCCCCCCCCCCACACACACACACACAUAUUUAGCAGAACACUGAGAAGUUGUUUAAUUUUUAUAUCAUUCUGAUUCAUUCACAAGCCACUAUCUUGGAGAUGAAAAUAAAACACACAAGUGGUAAUAGAAUAUUGACAGAGCUGUCACAUGAACUAAACAUGACAAACAUGGAACUGACAACCCUAUUAGGAUAAGUGUAAGUAACUCAAAUCUAGGAAAGAUAAUAGAAAUCUGUUUGGAGCAAUAGGAAACAGAAUCUGACAUAAAUGUUAUAGGGUGACUCUAAAUAAAGGAGUAUUCUAACUAACUCCAGGGAGCUGGGUCCUUCUUGAGAAGCUACCAGUCACUUACUCAAGAAAUUCCCAACAUUUUUGAACCUGAAGGUUAAUUGCUGUGUUCACACUAGCUCUCCUCUGGUCCCCAUCCUAAGCCAGAUGAAUCCAGUCCAUAUCACCCCCCAUCCUAUUUCGCUAAGAUCCAUUUCAGUAUUAUCCUCCCAUCUAGUGGCCUUGAUAAUUACUAGUCAGUUUUAUUGCCCUUCUUGUAAAUUGGUUCAAUAAUAGACUCUUCCACUGUCAAGGCAGUUCCUUAUAACAAACAGAAACAUGGGUUCAUGGAUCUGAAACAUAAUGUUUCAUGUCCUGCUUGAAUCAUUUCUGCCAGAAUUUGAUCAGCACCUGCUGAUUUAUACUUUUCAAACUUUGCAAUGGCAGUUCAAACUCAAAAGAACUAGGGCUAGGUAAUAAUGGCUCAUCUCUAUAAACUUUUCUCUGCCUAACAUCACUGGACCUAUGUACAUUCAGUACAUGAGAGAAGUGUUUCUUCCACCUAUUCAAAUGUUGUGGGAAUCUGUAAGAUCACCAUUCAUAUUCUUUACCAAGUUAGUUAUAGGCUGGUAACCCUCCUUAACCCUUCAGCGUGGUUUGCCAUAUACGGUAUGCUGGUAUUUAAAUGGUCCUACCUGCGGUUUGCUGUACACCGUACGCCAAGCUGUAAGCUUAAUUUCGAAGGCCCAUAAAUAUGGAAUGAACCACACCAGCAUGAUGACGAUUGCACUGGGCUGUUGUGAAAAGAAUGCGCUCUCUGUUCAUGUAAACAUAACGUUCAGCUCUGCCAGUCAGUCUAAAUAGAACGCCGACCUCAUAGUUGCGAUGGCCGAGUGACUAUGAUAUCAACAUACCACAAAGAUGAUAUGUGUGUGGUUGUGAAUAAAGCAAACAAACAGGAAACAAAGCCCUUGGUUGUUUGUGAUUACAACAAAAACAUGCUAGGAGUGGAUCUGACAGAUCAAAUGCUACAGCUGUACUUGCUUGAAGGAAAGAAGAGUACUAAGUGGUAUCAGAAGUUAUUCAAGACAUUAUUCAAUGUAGCAAUACAUAACGCAAUGGUCAUAUAUCGGUGUCUCCCGAAUAACAAAAACAUGGGCACGCUAAAGUUCAGACUUUCACUAGCACAAGGCCUCAUGGAAAAUCACGGUUCUGGUUUCCCUCAUCCUGUAUAUGGCCGUCUGUCAGUUGAGCCACUGCCUAAGAGACUCACAGAACGACAUUUCCUGAAGCAUAUUCCAGCCAAAGGGAAAAAGCAAAGGCUCAAAAAAGAUAUGUGGUGUGCGCAAAACAUGGUAAAAGGAAAGAAUUUAUUUUUGGUGUAGUGAAUGUGAGGUAGGGUUGUGUUUAUAUGGAUGUUUCAAGAAAUACCAUACGAAACUCAAUUUCUAAUCCACUUGCUUCCAUCGCUCAGAUACAGGGCACUCAUAUUAUAAGAGAGCAGCCAUUGUGAAAAUGGAACUAAAAUAAAUGAGUAAGAACUGAAAUUAAUGGUAACAAACAAGAAAUCUACCACUAUAAAAAUUACAUAUCCACAAUGAGAGAUCCACCAUUCUACAGUAUACCAUCAGGUGAAGUAAAGCACCUCAGUGCAUGUUGUGAUACAUAGUUCUUCAAAUGAUGAAAUUCUCUGCUGUUAGAGAAGCAAGACAUCCAUAAAUGCCAUCCAAAGGCAUACUACCCAAAAUUUUCAUAUAUUUAAAAACAAUGUUAAAAAUAUUCUUCUCUGCAAUCAAACAAUUUGAAUAUAACUUACAGCAACAAGUUUGUUCAAGAAAUGUUUGAUGCCAAGGAAUUAAUGUGUAAAUUUCAUGAAUUUUUCACGAGUGCUUUUUUCACCCAGAUUGAGAUCCAAUGUUUUGGAUACAAUCAAUUCACAGAAAUUUCUAAUAAAGCAACAGGAUCUGUGUUAAUUCAUAAUCACAUAAAUAUGAUGGGGGAAAAAAAACAGUAUGCAAAUUAUGAGUCACUAGGUUUCAGUUAUAAGGUGAAAUAAAUUCUUUAAGUUGAUAUUUUAAGGUACUACAGUUUCUGUAGAAUUCUAUGUGAGGUGUCCAUUUGCACUUAUCUCAGGUAAUAUGAGAACAAUGCUUGGGCUUUGUUUUAAUGUAUCUGAAAUACAGGAACAAUUACAUUUUACAGUUCACUCUGCAGUUACUAGCAUUAGCUCUGCACUACUCUUGAAAGAAAUUAAGCAAGAGGCAGCUAGGGAAUAUGUAAGCACCACAAUUAAGACAGGAAACCCUCUGCUUGAAGCCAGCCAAAGUGAAUCAAGCCUACCUCAUUGUUUGCUCAGGGUCUAGUUUGUAGUAAAAGUAUGUGAAGCUAUUCAACCAGCAUCAACCAUAACAGCUCAUACACUAUGCAUUAGUGCUCCAAAACAACUUGGCAUAAUGUAAAUACCUCAUACCACUUGCCACUUGCCACUAUUGUUUGCUUUUUCCACAAAUGCAAUAAGUUUGUUUUAUUUGGUCAAACCUAAAAUGUAAUCAAAGACUCCCAAGAGAGAGAAUUUGAAGUGAUUGAUGCUGGUGGAACAGCUUCAGAAGUGAAUAUAGGGACAAUUAAAUGUUUCUAUACAGCAUACAUUUUGUUUUUAUAAUGGUCAUAUUCUUUACCAUGUGAGAUAACCAUUAUAUAGAUUUAGCUGGGCGCUGUCCUUGAUUUUUUCUGUUUGUUGUGUUGUGACGGUCAAUAAAGAGUUGUACAUUAUAUAGAUUUGUUAUGGUGAAGAAUGCGUUCAUAAAAUGAAAUACAGAACCUGUCCUCCGACCAAGCACUUCUGAGCUACACCACUAAUAGAAAUAGAAAUUAAAUUAUCUAAAUCGAUAUUUCAGUUCAGUUUUUAUGGAAGUUGCACUGGGUCCCUAGUUGAAAAUUUUAAUGAACAGUUUUUCAUACUGGAUGCCAAAUGAUUAAUUAAAAAAAACAUUCAAAGAGUUCCUUUUGUCACAUACCUCCUACUAUAUUCAUUGUUUUGUAAACUGUGCUGUGCAUCAAUUAACAUCAUCUUAAAUAUCAAGUUAUAAUACUUCUUGUAGAAUAAUUAUAAAUAAUUUCCCAUUUAUGUAAAAUGAAGUGUUCUGUGCUUGCUCUACUAUGACUUGCUUAGUGUAUCUGUUUGUACGCUGACUUGUUUCACAUCAUAAGUAACCAGCAUUCAUGGAAUGCAUGUAAUUGAUUGACUGAUCAACCAAUCAUUCAACCAAACCAUUAAUCAAUUCAUAUAUUGAAGGAAGUCCCAAAUUCGGUCACAUACUGAUGAUUGUGACUACCUGACUUGCUAACUUUUAUCCUCACAGAACUGUUUCUGGCUGCAACAUAUCGUUUCACAUCCACGCUUUAUUCACUGCUCCUGAAACUGCCUGUAAAGCAUUAAUUUUGUUGAAAUAAACUUUUCCAGGAAAAAAUAGAAAAUCAGUAAAAUAAAAUUCUAUCUGCAUCUGCAAUACAAUUUUAACUCCCUUACAUACUUUCAAUUCUGUGCUUCUACACAGAUGUAAAAUGCAGAUUAAUCUCCACAGAUACAUAAGCUAGAGCCUUGUAAAUAUACAUAACUUAAGUAUGAAAUAUGUAAGUGUAGCUAUGAAGGUUGCAUGUGAUUUGUCAUGGUUGAUGUUGGAUUGCAAGUUAAAUUACAGAAUUUGAAUGAGAAGAGUUUGGGGAUUAGAUGAAGAGAGGCUUCCCUGUGUAGAAUUGUGUUGAGUUUUCCCCAACUGUCUGUUACACAACCAAGAGCAGCAUUAGUUAAUUUUCUUAAUUCCCUCAGGUACUUACAUCUGAUGUUAUAUGAAAGAAUUCCAACAGCACAGUACAGUAUAUAUAAAUUAAAGCAUUAAAUCCAAAAAUUUUAAUCUCUUUCUUUUUCUCCUGGAAAUUUGAAAAAUGUCUUCUACUCCUAAUGUGAGUGAUUUUAGAAUACAAUGCACAUUACUACAAUAGUGGUUGUAAGUUGCACUUAUACAUUUUUCCUAGAGUUAAUGGAAGAUUUCUAGAGAAACUGGAGAAUACCUAAAAAAUAAUGUUAUUAGCCUUUUAGAAGGAAAUAAAUCUACAUGUUUUACUUUUCAGUACAGGUUCAUUUUCAUCAUGCCACUUGAUUUUCAUGAAAAAUAAAAUAGAAAUAUAUAUACUGAUGACUUGCUCAAAUUACAAUGGGCAGUGGGUUCAUCGUUUCAGUAAGUGAUAUAAAACUACCAUGUUGAUUAGUGAUUACAUAUCUACUGUAUCACUACACUUUUAUUGUAGAAUAAAAAUAAAUAAUUCAACCAAUUUUUUUUGUGUGUUGCCUUAUCUCCUGCUUCCUACAAAUGUGUCAUUCUGCAUCUAAUAAUUUAGAUGUCGCUUCUGAGUUUCUCACAGUGGUGCUCAUGGGGAGUUCUAUCUUCUGUGCUAUAAUGCCAUGUAAUCCACUGAAA